Long non-coding RNA from Canis lupus familiaris (dog), 1140 nucleotides. RefSeq lists it as uncharacterized. Lineage: Eukaryota; Metazoa; Chordata; Mammalia; Carnivora; Canidae. The transcript is spliced from 3 exons. The record is from RefSeq and is a predicted model, not a curated record.
GUGUUAUGGAUCUAUCUAUCUAUCCAAUGUGGCUGUGGGCACAUUGAUUUUAUGGCUGUGGAAAUAAUAGGGUUUAAUUUCAACCAUGAGUAUAUGAAUGAGGAGAGAGAUUAAGAAAGGACUUUGGAUUUGCUGGUAAGAUUUUGGUGACUUGUUAAGGCAACAUUUUCAUAUAAAAUUGAGGCUAAAUUGUCCUGAAAAAAAUUAGGCAACAGGUAAAUAUUACUCAUUUAUUUUCGUCUCCUAAAUUUUGCAUUUUUCCUAGUUUUCAAGAUUUUGUGCAGAGAAGAAUGCCAUUAAGCCAAAUAUUAUUUUCUUUAUCUCUUCAUAGGAUGUUGAACUUGCUUAACUUUGGGAAAGCUAAAACUGCUGAAUACAAUGUUUCCAAGAUAUGUAAGGCGGCCCCCAAAGAGUUACAUGUCUUUGUACGUUUUUGUAGCUGUUAACAAAGAAGGGCUCUCUUUCAGAAAACUGAUUGGACUCUCUGUUGGACGCUAUAUAGAUACCACUUUAAAGAAUGCAUUUGUUUAUUAUUAAUCAGAAAUUUUGUGGGUUUUCUUUUUCUCAGUGCCUUUAGCAGCAAAAAGUAUCUAGGAGCUAAAAUACAGCUACAGCUGGAGCUAACUUCCAUUCAUUCAUCAUUGUCACUUCAUGAAUUAGGAGCCAGUAGACCAUUUCUCUUACUUUACUUCAGCUCCUUUUCAGAAUGAGCUUUCUAUCUCUAAAGUGGCAAUGAUCACUCACUUCAAUUAAAAUGACUAAUAUCUACCAGAGACAAAGGAGAGUCCCCUGCUAUUAACCAGUUGGGAACUCAAGUUUGGGCCACAGCAUGGCUCUGAGAAAUUUCUGUUGUUGCAACUAUGCAUCAUCCUUGGCCCAUGGUUCAUCAGCCACUUGGGUCACCAGCCUAUUGAGGUAGCAACAAGUACGGCUGAGGAAAGAGGCUGACUGCACCGUCUACUGGUGGUCACAGUGUCCACCUGAUUCCUGAGAACCUUUUUAGUGUGUACACUGUGGUAGCAUUCAUAGCAAUACAUGUUAUCAAACUGUGUUUAUUCUGAGAAGCCCAUUCCCAUAACUUUGUGUAGCUGUACUCAUUACAGUCUUUCAGUUUUGCUUCUACCAAGUCUCUGACCAUAU